Molecule: unclassified non-coding RNA, 300 nt
Filed under: uncultured fungus
Lineage: Eukaryota; Fungi
Description: sequence contains 5.8S rRNA gene, ITS2
Rfam family: 5.8S ribosomal RNA (bases 1-71)
Source: RNAcentral
GUGAGUCAUCGAAUCUUUGAACGCAUAUUGCGCUCCCUGGUAUUCCGGGGAGCAUGCCUGUUUCAGUAUCAGUUCUCCAAAGCAAACCUCCCUUGGGGGGAAAGCUGAAUUGAGUCUUCUCAGGAACCAUAUUAAUUUUAAUGUGGUGAUGGAGUGAUUUGAAAUUAAGAGCACGGCAGUAUGUUGGCUCAUACAAAAUCGACCUUUGGUGUAAUAUGUAGCCUUAACGGGUCCUACUAUUUUAUUCGCCUCAGGAAGAGAGACAACUCUGGCCCGUCACCUUAAAUUAACUGUGAGCUU